RNAcentral lists this transfer RNA (67 nucleotides) under Conus striatus (striated cone). RNAcentral describes it as "tRNA-Asp". Lineage: Eukaryota; Metazoa; Mollusca; Gastropoda; Neogastropoda; Conidae. The record is from RNAcentral.
GAGGGAUUAGUUAAAUUAUAAUACAAGAUUGUCAGUCUUAUGUUACUAGUAGAACUAGUAUCUCUUA